GCUGGCGGCGUGCCUAACACAUGCAAGUCGAACGAGAAAGUGGAGCGAUCCAUGAGUAAAGUGGCGACCGGGUGAGUAACACGUGACUAACCUACCUUCGAGUGGGGGAUAACCUAGGGAAACCUGGGCUAAUACCGCAUAAUAUCUUUGGAUCGGAAGAACUGGAGAUCAAAGGAGCAAUUCGCUUGAAGAGGGGGUCGCGGCUGAUUAGCUAGUUGGCGGGGUAAUGGCCCACCAAGGCUUUGAUCGGUAGCCGGCCUGAGAGGGCGCACGGCCACACUGGAACUGAAACACGGUCCAGACUCCUACGGGAGGCAGCAGUGGGGAAUUUUGCGCAAUGGGGGAAACCCUGACGCAGCAACGCCGCGUGGAGGAUGAAGUCCCUUGGGACGUAAACUCCUUUCGACCGGGACGAUUAUGACGGUACCGGUGGAAGAAGCCCCGG
RNAcentral lists this ribosomal RNA (445 nucleotides) under uncultured soil bacterium. RNAcentral describes it as "bacterial SSU rRNA". It matches the Rfam family "Bacterial small subunit ribosomal RNA", at positions 35 to 496 of the family's 1533-position model. The record is from RNAcentral.